CCUACGGGAGGCAGCAGUGGGGAAUAUUGCACAAUGGGGGAAACCCUGAUGCAGCGACGCCGCGUGGGCGAGGAAGUACCUCGGUAUGUAAAGCCCUAUCAGCAGGGAAGAAACAGGACAGUACCUGACUAAGAAGCCCCGGCUAACUACGUGCCAGCAGCCGCGGUAAUACGUAGGGGGCAAGCGUUAUCCGGAUUUACUGGGUGUAAAGGGAGCGUAGACGGCAUGGCAAGUCUGAUGUGAAAACCCGGGGCUCAACCCCGGUACUGCAUUGGAAACUGUCAGGCUAGAGUGUCGGAGAGGCA
This 305-nucleotide ribosomal RNA is filed under the name uncultured bacterium. RNAcentral describes it as "bacterial SSU rRNA". It matches the Rfam family "Bacterial small subunit ribosomal RNA", at positions 338 to 659 of the family's 1533-position model. The record is from RNAcentral.